AUGCAGUGCAUCCACGACGCGCUCGCGCAGCUCGGCCUCGACAAGCAGGUCGCGGUCACCACCGCACACAACCUCGGUGUGCUCGCCACCUCCUACCCGCCCUCGUCGGCCUACUUCCGCAAGGACCUCCUCCCGGUGCUCUGCCCGAUCCUCGACUUCCACGCCCGCACCAGCUCGCCGUUCCUCGUCAACGCCUACCCCUACUUCGCUUACGCCGAGGACCCCGCCGGCGUGGAGCUUGAGUACGCCCUGCUCGAGCCCGGCCACGGCCGCGUCCCGGACGGCCGGACCCGUCCUCCGGGCUGCGCUACCCCAACAUGCUGGUGUCCCAGGUGGACGCCGUGUACCACGCGAUCGCAGCGGCCAACCGCGGGGUGGCGCGCGCGGUGGAGGUGCGCGUGUCGAAGACCGGGUGGCCAUCGGCCGGCGACGGCAACGAGACCGGCGCGACGCCGCGGAACGCCGCAAGGUACAACGGCAACGUUAUGCGGCUGGUGGGCGAGGGCAAGGGCACGCCGCUGCGGCCGGACGGAGCGUUGCGCGUCUACAUGUUCGCCCUCUUCAACGAGAACAUGA
RNAcentral lists this ribosomal RNA (576 nucleotides) under Triticum aestivum (bread wheat). RNAcentral's name for it is "partial small subunit ribosomal RNA". The record is from RNAcentral. Lineage: Eukaryota; Viridiplantae; Streptophyta; Magnoliopsida; Poales; Poaceae.